This 657-nucleotide ribosomal RNA is filed under the name Brachybacterium sp. RNAcentral describes it as "bacterial SSU rRNA". It matches the Rfam family "Bacterial small subunit ribosomal RNA", at positions 17 to 686 of the family's 1533-position model. The record is from RNAcentral. Lineage: Bacteria; Bacillati; Actinomycetota; Actinomycetes; Micrococcales; Dermabacteraceae.
UCAUGGCUCAGGAUGAACGCUGGCUGCGUGCUUAACACAUGCAAGUCGAACGAUGACGACCGGGCUUGCCUGGUCUGAUUAGUGGCGAACGGGUGAGUAACACGUGAGUAACCUGCCCCUCACUUCGGGAUAACCUCGGGAAAUCGUGGCUAAUACCGGAUAUGAACUUCUACCGCAUGGUGGUUGUUGGAAAGUUUUUCGGUGAGGGAUGGACUCGCGGCCUAUCAGUUUGUUGGUGAGGUAAUGGCUCACCAAGACGAUGACGGGUAGCCGGCCUGAGAGGGCGACCGGCCACACUGGGACUGAGACACGGCCCAGACUCCUACGGGAGGCAGCAGUGGGGAAUAUUGCACAAUGGGCGAAAGCCUGAUGCAGCGACGCAGCGUGAGGGAUGACUGCCUUCGGGUUGUAAACCUCUUUCAGUAGGGAAGAAGCGAAAGUGACGGUACCUGCAGAAGAAGCGCCGGCUAACUACGUGCCAGCAGCCGCGGUAAUACGUAGGGCGCAAGCGUUAUCCGGAAUUAUUGGGCGUAAAGAGCUUGUAGGUGGCUUGUCGCGUCUGCCGUGAAAACCCGAGGCUCAACCUCGGGCGUGCGGUGGGUACGGGCAGGCUAGAGUGUGGUAGGGGAGACUGGAACUCCUGGUGUAGCGGUGAAA